Molecule: ribosomal RNA, 254 nt
Filed under: uncultured bacterium
Lineage: Bacteria
Description: partial 16S ribosomal RNA
Rfam family: Bacterial small subunit ribosomal RNA
Source: RNAcentral
CCACGCCGUAAACGAUGAGUGCUAGGUGUCGGGAGUCAAAUCUCGGUGCCGCAGUUAACGCAAUAAGCAUUCCGCCUGGGGAGUACGGUCGCAAGAUUAAAACUCAAAGGAAUUGACGGGGGCCCGCACAAGCAGCGGAGCAUGUGGUUUAAUUCGAAGCAACGCGAAGAACCUUACCAGGUCUUGACAUCUGAUUAAAGCUGUAGAGAUACAGUGUGUGCUUGCACGAAUCAAGACAGGUGGUGCAUGGUUGU